Molecule: long non-coding RNA, 590 nt
Filed under: Coturnix japonica (Japanese quail)
Lineage: Eukaryota; Metazoa; Chordata; Aves; Galliformes; Phasianidae
Description: lncRNA (ENSCJPG00005001371.1)
Source: RNAcentral
UGCUAUCACAGAAAUGCCUUUUGUUUUCUGUAAGUGAGUAGUGUGAUGACUUUCUUGCUCAUGAAGAUGAAGGACAAGAACUACUCUGGACUGAGGUCCCACACUAAUCCACACCAUCAGCAUCCACCGUAUUGCUCUGCUCAACCUGGACCCAGAGGAUACAGUGAGAAAUCCUAAGCAUUAAACCUAAGUCCAGUCCUUUGAUUACCCAGCAAAGGGGAGCAAGCUGAACUGCCUGUGAUGGAUUGACUUCUAUUAAAUUCUUCAGGUGUCACCAUGAGUGUGAACUCUAUUUAAGUAACACAGCUAGAGACUUAUUUUAUUAUAUAAUUGAUAAGAAAUAUAGCCUAGGAAGCCUAGACAAUGGAAGUGACUUCUACAGGAUAUAUUUCACUACAUGGGAACGUACUGGAAGCAGAAAAUGGAGUUACGAUUAAAUAGGGAUGCCACACGGCAGCUUCAUCCCACCCUGCCCUAAUGAGGGCCAGCAUUUGAAGGAUCUCGGCUCUUGGCUCUCUGAAUCUUGUUCCCAUGCUCUUCUGCUACAGCAAAGCUCUUGGGAUGAAGGCCAGGAGCUGCCCAGAGAUUGA